UUAAAGAUAUGAAGAUGAACUCAUCCUGUAUUUAGGGUGGGCCCUCAAUUCAGUGACUGGCAUCCUUGUAAGAAGAGAUGAGGACACAGAGACAUGGAGGGAAGAAGAUCAUGUGAAAGACGUAGGCAGAGAUUGGAGAUCUGCUGCCGCAAGACAGGGAAGCAGGAACCACCAGGAGCUGGAAGAGGUGGUCUCAAACCCAGUCAGCGGCUCCUACACUGUGACCUCGCUCAGCUCCACUCCCCAGAACUCCAGGUCUGGCAGGUGUCAACUUGACAGAGCUAAGGGAUGCCCAGAAAGCUAG
Diceros bicornis minor is the source of this 304-nucleotide long non-coding RNA. RefSeq lists it as uncharacterized. The record is from RefSeq and is a predicted model, not a curated record. The transcript has 3 exons. Lineage: Eukaryota; Metazoa; Chordata; Mammalia; Perissodactyla; Rhinocerotidae.